Long non-coding RNA from Peromyscus californicus insignis, 2940 nucleotides. RefSeq lists it as uncharacterized. Lineage: Eukaryota; Metazoa; Chordata; Mammalia; Rodentia; Cricetidae. The record is from RefSeq and is a predicted model, not a curated record. The transcript is spliced from 4 exons.
ACACACACACACACACAAAUAUAAUUUAAAACCAAUGAUGUAAAUGAAAUAGGUCAUGGACUAUGUUUAUUGAGUGUGGCUCCCAAUGACCCCGUCCAAAGCCCCAUUUUCAGUCUGUAAGUUUCAGGAUUUCGUGGAUAGCUCUCCCAGCUCAUUUCUUCUCUAUUGAAGGAAGAAUCUUUUUCAAUUUCACUGCGGUAGGGUAAGCCUUACUUGCCAUUUCUGUCGGGCCCCUGUGUAAUUGUAAUCUUUACCUUCUGAAUUAGCAUUAGAUGAUUUAGAGCUUUUUAAAAAUCAUUAUCUAAUUAAUUUGUGACGAAUUGUGCCAGUUGCCAAGAGAACCAGCCUUAAUGGGAUCUCUUUCAGCUUCCACAUUCGUUAAUUCUCUUUGAGAGCCAUAGGCUUAUUCAUGACCUAUUACCAUUAAUAAUGCUUAAAUGAACUCAGAUGUAAUACUUGAUCAUGCAUCAUUUAUCCUUUGAUACAUUUAGGAUAUAUUUGAAGUUCAUACACUGGAGGAUGUCCAAGGCAUACAGAAAUAUUAACCAUUAUUCACAUAUCAGAAAACAUUACACAGGAGCUAUUCCCACAUGGGAGUGCAUGUGGGAAGCUGUGUGGCUGACAAAUGGUAGUUGGAUUUAGGGUUCCACCAUCCAACAGCUCUGGCACCGUUUCCCAGAAUGAGCUUCCUAGUUCCUUGCUAUAAAGCUGCCUGAUGAUUUACAGGAUUAGUUUCUAUGAAAAUAUUCAGUGGAGGCAUCUAUACCUUCACAAUGCACCCUGUAGGAUACUGAAAAAAAAAAUCUUUCAGGAGGAUGAGAAUGGCAAGGAACAAGAGUAGCAUACAGGGAUCAUGUCACUGCAGAGGGAAGUGAGAGAAAGGCCAACCAAACAUUUGGCUCAUCCACAGCUGUCUCCUUUAGUACCAGCUCAGCACGCUCUCUGGAAACAAUCUGAAACUUAGACAUGGAGCCUGUGGCUUCUCUUCCUUUCCUCGCUGCUUCUGUGGGGAUGCUCUGUCAAGAAGUGUGGCUCAUUUUUCCAUAUAGAGUUGGGAUUUUCCCCUUUAUGAUCUCCCAACACCAAAUUGAGAAGUCCAAACAUCUCUAUUUAAAAGAGAAGGUGUUUAAUAAUUUCAGGAAAAUUUCUUUUUAGCAUAGGACUCUUGUGAAUAUCUUCUCAAACAGGAGCUUUAGUCGUUAAGGACUGACACCAUUUCAUAUGUGACUUUUGUCACAGAUAUACUUCCCACUGGAUUGACCAUCAGAUGUGCAGACAAGAACUAAGAAGGACAUUCAGGGCUGAUAGUUACUUAGUGAUUGAACACAUGACCCAUAGUAGUUUUAGAUCUAGUCUCCAACUAGAGGGCACAAGGAUUAUCUCUGUAGAACGAGAGGCAGUCAAACAAAACACAGUCUGCAUGAUUAUUCUUGCUUUGGUAACUGGAAACAAAGGUAAAUACUGAAGGCAAGUUGCUUUCUGGCAUUCAGGAAGCAAGAAAACUCCAGGAUUGGUUGCUGGCAUUGGAACUUGGGUAUGAAAGGGGAGAUGGAAAUAGAAAGAUACACAGAGGUAGAAAUCUCCCAUAGCCUCUGCGAAGCUGAAUUUGAAACAAUUUAUAGUUAUUGUCAACAAAGAUUCUCUUGCAUGUGAAAAGGCCGUGGUGUCCCUGACAUCUUGGCUACAUGGCAAACCAUGGCUGUAUGUCUGCAGGUGUGUCCGUGGAAGGAUGUGUGCAUGUUUUGUGAUAAUACUGCAGACUGCUUCUGUGGGUGUCAACCUGAAACUGUCAUAAGAACUGCCUCUGUCAACCAGUGACAUCCUUGAGGUGAAUUUUAAGUAGACACUGGCUCAGGAUUCUUCUCUUCCUUGGGUUUCUUCAUAAGUAAUAUCCACACUUGUCUCUCAGUAGACUGAUGGAUGAAUAGGCAGAUAUACAUUUCACAGUGUUUCAGUAAUAAUCUGUCCAUCUCUACAGUUCCUGCAGAUCAGUGCUAUUUUCAUAUGCCAGAAGCCUUAUUAAAAAAUGAUAGGCAUCAAAUAGGUAGAAACAAUGAUGGUUUAGAAGUCAAAAUGCUCAGGGUUCAGGUGCCUGUGACUGGCAGUGUGUGUCCUGAGCUCACUACAAUUUUUAUGAAAGUCAAAUUUGUUUGUUAAGCAAUAACAAUUACCCUUUUCACAGCUUCUUUUGUUUGCUAUGUAAUUCUGAAAAUCAUUAUUUUCUUCAUCUGUAAGAUGGAAAUAAUGUUGGGGCCCUCAAGAGGCAUUUACAAGAAUUAAAGAAGAUGCUUCCAUUUGAGGUGUUUACAAUGAGUUCUGGCAGAAGGAAAGUACAGUCUAUGGUAGUUUGAAUGUAAUUGGCCCCCAUAAUUUUCUAGGGAGUGGCACUAUUAGGAGGUAUGGCUUUGUUGAAAUGGGUAUGGCCUUGUUAGAGGAAGCAUGUCACUGUGCAGGCGAACUUUGAAGUUUUUUAUGCUCAAGAUACUACCCAGAGUCUCAGUUGACUUCCUGUUGCCUGCAAGAUGUAGAACUCCCAGCUACUCCUCCAGCACCAUGUCUGCCUGCAUGCUGCCAUGCUCCGUAUCAUGAUGAUAAUGGACUGGAUCCCUGAAACUGCAAGUGAGCCCCCUCAAACUGUUUUCCUGCUUAUCAGUAAGAGAAGCCAAGGCAGGAACUUUGUGAAGACAAGCAGGAAAAAGGUGUCCAGAAAUCCAGAGAUGUAUUUCAUGCAUCCCAGAUCUUAGACUACACUGAGGAAGAGUUUCUUCCUGAUGACUGCAUUAUUCUUGUCCAAUUCUCCCUGGGAGAGAUUCGACUUCUGCAAUUGGAGUGAUGAGAUUACAGAACAGGACACGGAAUCUAGCUGCAAUGCAUGUCUUGACAAUAUUUCACCAUCCCAAAUAAGACCUUUUGAGUCAAAUAGUGAGACCUCAUUUACAC